AGAAUUGACAUAUCCACAUGCACAAAAUCUGAUAGCCAACAUUAGCAUCAGGGAUAGACUGAAUCCAUUCUUUAGCCUAACAAAUAAAUUAGCACAAGAAAACCAACAAGUAAAAACAUUAACUUGAGAUUGCUAUCUGCUUGUCCUUGAGCAGUGUCUUGAGCGUUACGAACAUGUGGCCCGUGAUAUGCAGGAGUAUAUCCAAAAUGGUGAUUUGAUGCGGUAGGAUAUGCUGUCGGACCAGGAAAUCCAUGAAACUGGAAGCUGAGCAAUGAAGGGAGCAAUCCACCAAAACCAGCAGACAUAGUAAAAUUACCAAAUCUUGCAGUUGCUGUUGGAAACAAUCCUCCCAUGUGCCCAAAUCCAUGAUUAGGAAAAUGAUUUGGUUCAGGUUGAGGAGCAGUUUCAGGUCGUUGUCCAGCAGGUCUACUAGGAAUUUCAAGGCCAGGAAUUGGUUUUGAUCGGGGAUCAGUAGAAGUUCUUCCUCUUCCAUAAAGUGGAACUAACUUCUCCUCUUGAAUAAGUGCCUUACAGACAGGGCAUUCAUGGCACUGUGAGUGAAGACGUAACCAUCUAUACAGACAUGGCCAACA
This 593-nucleotide unclassified non-coding RNA is filed under the name Hevea brasiliensis (rubber tree). Lineage: Eukaryota; Viridiplantae; Streptophyta; Magnoliopsida; Malpighiales; Euphorbiaceae. The record is from RNAcentral.